CUACGGGGCGCUGCAGUGGGGAAUUUUGCGCAAUGGGGGGAACCCUGACGCAGCAAUACCGCGUGAGUGAAGAAGGCCUUUGGGUCGUAAAGCUCUUUUCUGAAGGAAGAUGGUGACGGUACUUCAGGAAUAAGCACCGGCUAACUCCGUGCCAGCAGCCGCGGUAAUACGGAGGGUGCGAGCGUUGUUCGGAUUUACUGGGCGUAAAGGGCACGUAGGCGGCCUGGCAAGUUAAGGGUGAAAUCCCGGGGCUUAACUACGGAACUGCUCUUAAAACUGCCAAGCUAGAGAUAGUCAGAGGCGGGUGGAAUUCCUGGUGUAGAGGUGAAAUUCGUAGAUAUCAGGAGGAACACCGGUGGCGAAGGCGGCCCGCUGGGGCUAUUCUGACGCUAAGGUGCGAAAGCGUGGGGAGCGAACGGGAUUAGAUACCCCCGUAGUC
RNAcentral lists this ribosomal RNA (439 nucleotides) under uncultured bacterium. RNAcentral's name for it is "partial 16S ribosomal RNA". It matches the Rfam family "Bacterial small subunit ribosomal RNA", at positions 339 to 795 of the family's 1533-position model. The record is from RNAcentral.